Molecule: ribosomal RNA, 47 nt
Filed under: Gymnangium allmani
Lineage: Eukaryota; Metazoa; Cnidaria; Hydrozoa; Leptothecata; Aglaopheniidae
Description: partial 28S ribosomal RNA
Source: RNAcentral
GACCUCAGAUCAGGCAAGACUACACGCUGAAUUUAAGCAUAUUAAUA